UCCCUAGUGGCUCAGUUGGUAAAGAAUCUGCCUGCAAUGCAGGAGCCCCGGGUUUGAUCCCCGGGUUGGGAA
RNAcentral lists this transfer RNA (72 nucleotides) under Ovis aries (sheep). It matches the Rfam family "tRNA". From Rfam's summary of the family: Transfer RNA (tRNA) molecules are approximately 80 nucleotides in length. The record is from Rfam by way of RNAcentral. Lineage: Eukaryota; Metazoa; Chordata; Mammalia; Artiodactyla; Bovidae.